GCCACCUUAGCACAGCGGUAGUGCAGCGGUUUUGUAAACCGAAGGUCGGGAGUUCAAAUCUCUCAGGUGGCACCA
Molecule: transfer RNA, 75 nt
Filed under: Alphaproteobacteria bacterium
Lineage: Bacteria; Pseudomonadati; Pseudomonadota; Alphaproteobacteria
Description: tRNA-Thr
Rfam family: tRNA
About the family: Transfer RNA (tRNA) molecules are approximately 80 nucleotides in length. Their secondary structure includes four short double-helical elements and three loops (D, anti-codon, and T loops).
Source: RNAcentral